UACGUAGGGUGCAAGCGUUGUCCGGAAUUAUUGGGCGUAAAGAGCUCGUAGGCGGUUCGUCACGUCGGCUGUGAAAUCCCGAGGCUCAACCUCGGGUCUGCAGUCGAUACGGGCGGACUUGAGUACUGCAGGGGAGACUGGAAUUCCUGGUGUAGCGGUGAAAUGCGCAGAUAUCAGGAGGAACACCGGUGGCGAAGGCGGGUCUCUGGGCCGUUACUGACGCUGAGGAGCGAAAGCGUGGGGAGCGAACAGG
RNAcentral lists this ribosomal RNA (253 nucleotides) under uncultured bacterium. RNAcentral describes it as "partial 16S ribosomal RNA". It matches the Rfam family "Bacterial small subunit ribosomal RNA", at positions 524 to 776 of the family's 1533-position model. The record is from RNAcentral.